RNAcentral lists this ribosomal RNA (1214 nucleotides) under Paenibacillus xylanexedens. RNAcentral's name for it is "bacterial SSU rRNA". It matches the Rfam family "Bacterial small subunit ribosomal RNA", at positions 139 to 1333 of the family's 1533-position model. The record is from RNAcentral. Lineage: Bacteria; Bacillati; Bacillota; Bacilli; Caryophanales; Paenibacillaceae.
UGUCUCACCUACCGGAAACGGAAGCUAAUACCGAAUAGUUGUUUUCUUCGCCUGAAGGAAACUGGAAAGACGGAGCAAUCUGUCACUUGGGGUUGGGCCUGCGGCGCAUUAGCUAGUUGGUGAGGUAACGGCUCACCAAGGCGACGAUGCGUAGCCGACCUGAGAGGGUGAUCGGCCACACUGGGACUGAGACACGGCCCAGACUCCUACGGGAGGCAGCAGUAGGGAAUCUUCCGCAAUGGGCGAAAGCCUGACGGAGCAAUGCCGCGUGAGUGAUGAAGGUUUUCGGAUCGUAAAGCUCUGUUGCCAGGGAAGAACGCUUGGGAGAGUAACUGCUCUCAAGGUGACGGUACCUGAGAAGAAAGCCCCGGCUAACUACGUGCCAGCAGCCGCGGUAAUACGUAGGGGGCAAGCGUUGUCCGGAAUUAUUGGGCGUAAAGCGCGCGCAGGCGGUCAUUUAAGUCUGGUGUUUUAUUCCCGGGGCUCAACCCCGGAUCGCACUGGAUACUGGGUGACUUGAGUGCAGAAGAGGAGAGUGGAAUUCCACGUGUAGCGGUGAAUAUGCGUAGAUAUGUGGAGGUAUCACCUAGUGGCGUAGGGCGACUCUCUGGGCUGUAACUGACGCUGAGGCGCGAUAGCGUGGGGAGCUAUACAGGAUUAGAUACCCUGGUAGUCCACGCCGUAAACGAUGAGUGCUAGGUGUUAGGGGUUUCGAUACCCUUGGUGCCGAAGUUAACACAUUAAGCACUCCGCCUGGGGAGUACGGUCGCAAGACUGAAACUCAAAGGAAUUGACGGGGACCCGCACAAGCAGUGGAGUAUGUGGUUUAAUUCGAAGCAACGCGAAGAACCUUACCAGGUCUUGACAUCCCUCUGAUCGAUGCAGAGAUGUAUCUUUCCUUCGGGACAGAGGAGACAGGUGGUGCAUGGUUGUCGUCAGCUCGUGUCGUGAGAUGUUGGGUUAAGUCCCGCAACGAGCGCAACCCUUAUAUUUAGUUGCCAGCAUUUCGGGUGGGCACUCUAGAUAGACUGCCGGUGACAAACCGGAGGAAGGUGGGGAUGACGUCAAAUCAUCAUGCCCCUUAUGACCUGGGCUACACACGUACUACAAUGGCCGGUACAACGGGCUGCGAAAUCGCGAGAUGGAGCCAAUCCCAACAAAGCCGGUUUCAGUUCGGAUUGCAGGCUGCAACUCGCCUGCAUGAAGUCGGAAUU